RNAcentral lists this long non-coding RNA (2052 nucleotides) under Arabidopsis lyrata. RNAcentral's name for it is "long non-coding RNA (ALYR_LNC000724)". The record is from RNAcentral. Lineage: Eukaryota; Viridiplantae; Streptophyta; Magnoliopsida; Brassicales; Brassicaceae.
GGAGUAUGAAUUAUGAACAUAAUAACCAAAAUUUACCAAAUUUGAAGUUACACGAUGUGUCGAUGCAUAUUAUAUUGGUAACUUAGUCUUAUACAAUAACAAAACAUCGAUUUCUUCUUUUUCUAGUAAUCGAAGGUACAACAAUACUAAAAAUAUAUUCUGAAGAGAGUGAUUCGUACUAAUAUAUAAUCCCAAAAAUAUAUAUUAAGCAAGGCAUAUACACGGUAACAUUUAUUUCACCUAUUUAUAAUUUCGCUAAUAGAAGAAGUGAGGGCGUUAGCGGUCGUUUUCCUCGUUGAUGAUGGCCUUCUUGGUUCUGAUAAACUCGAUACAGUCAGCCACGGCUUCGCUGUGAUAAGUAUCAGUGGUCUUAUAGUACUUUUGGGUUGGCGUCUGUUUGUUAUUAUGACGGCGAGAUGUUGACUUGGAGACGGCAGAUAUCAUGAUGAGGUGGAGAACAGCUUCGCGAAAACGGUCUAGGAGAGUCAGAGACGUUACACUAAUCUCCCGAUCACCAGUGCUUCUGGCGUUGGUUUUUACUCGUGGGACACAUCCGGCGCCGGAGCUCUUGGUCCUCAUCUACAAGCUUUGAUGAUUUUUUUUUUUUGGUUGAACAAGCUUUGAUGAUUAUGUGUGUUCCUCUUCGGCUAUCGCAUGUGGGGUUUUAUUUAUACACGAGAAUCUAAUGAUCCAAGGGAGGCGCAGUUUUAUUAUCAAAUUGGUUUCGUCUUUUGCUUAUUUUAUUAGUAUCUCUUCUUAGUGAUGAGACUUUCAAGUUCCAAUAUCAAAGAUAUAAAAAUCCUUUAAGGCUGGUCAAGUUUAAGUUUUGGUGAAUAGUACAUUUAAUGUGUGUGUUUAUAACAUGGUCGGGACAUUUUAAGACCAUAUCUCAUUCGCAUGCAAAUAGCCAUUUAAAGCAUUUUUAUUUGUUAGGUGGCUCUUUUUUCAAAAACAUAUACACGUAGAUAUAUGCAGGGCCGGCUCAAUUAUUGACGAGACCCGGUGCUAGAUCUGUCCCAAAGAAAUUAAGGGCCCUUAGACAAUUAUUUUUUUUUGUCUAUUAUUAUAAUUUAAAAAAAAAUACCAAAUUUGUAUUCAACUAAUUGUUGUUUUUAAUUAUAGAAAUGUUAUUUUCUUAAACUUGGAUUUUUUUAUAUUGUUUUUAACAAAAUUUGGGAUUUUUAAAGUAUAAUUUUUUAUUUAGUUGGUUAUUUUAUAAAAAGUUGGGAUUUUUUUAUUAAAAAAAAUAAAAUAAAAAUAAAUUGGACCCUAGGAAGCUAGGACCCUGUGCCCUAGCACUCCUAGCACAUGUGCUAAGCAGGGCCUGGAUAUAUGCAUACUUGAUAGUUGAUACUUGUAUAGAAUGGGCAAGGGAAGAAUUGUGUCCAUGAAUGGAUUUACAAGAUGGGGCAGAGUUAAAGAACUUGUCUUAAGGAAUUGGUGCAUACUUAAUAAAUAGAGAAUGCGGGUCAUUGUCUUAACUGACGUCGUCUGAUGAUUUUCACAUGGUCACAUGUGCAAGUUUUCACCAAUAUAUAAUCUCUCAUAAUUUACAGCAUGAAUUCUAUAUAGUACACAAUCAAACUUAUUUAUACAUUUCAUUGCAUUGUUAAAACAUUUGAGCCGACUCACCGGCCAAUGCAAAAAUUGAAAGAGAUAGUAAUUGAUAUAAUCAUCCUAGAUAUAGACAAAUUUAGGAUGGUUUAAUAAAGAGACAUGAAUUUGUUUAAUUGUCUCAGGUCUACGUCGAAAAGUACAGCUCAUCUCAUGGAUAUCAUAUAGUACUUUAUCAAUAGAUUAAUUUUUUGUAUGUAUCUGUAGUUGACCAAGUACAGUGGUUUAUAGAUAACAGAGCUGUUCCACUUGCUAUAGAAUCGGAUGAACCAAUAGAACUAUGUUUUUUUUGUUACUAAUCUAUAGAUGUUAAUGCAAAUGUCUAAUCUUGAUAUCGGUUAAGUCCGGUUAAGGUGUUUGAUGGACUCCAAUUGAAAGCCUUUUGCACAACAGGGCGAGAGAAGAAAGAUAGAAAAAGAAACGUCAAAUUCCGAUUAC